RNAcentral lists this ribosomal RNA (506 nucleotides) under uncultured bacterium. RNAcentral describes it as "partial 16S ribosomal RNA". It matches the Rfam family "Bacterial small subunit ribosomal RNA", at positions 29 to 523 of the family's 1533-position model. The record is from RNAcentral.
AGUGAACGCUGGCGGUAGGCCUAACACAUGCAAGUCGAACGGCAGCACAGAGGAGCUUGCUCCUUGGGUGGCGAGUGGCGGACGGGUGAGGAAUACAUCGGAAUCUACUCUGUCGUGGGGGAUAACGUAGGGAAACUUACGCUAAUACCGCAUACGACCUACGGGUGAAAGCAGGGGAUCUUCGGACCUUGCGCGAUUGAAUGAGCCGAUGUCGGACUAGCUAGUUGGCGGGGUAAAGGCCCACCAAGGCGACGAUCCGUAGCUGGUCUGAGAGGAUGAUCAGCCACACUGGAACUGAGACACGGUCCAGACUCCUACGGGAGUCAGCAGUGGGGAAUAUUGGACAAUGGGCGCAAGCCUGAUCCAGCCAUACCGCGUGGGUGAAGAAGGCCUUCGGGUUGUAAAGCCCUUUUGUUGGGAAAGAAAUCCAGCUGGCUAAUACCCGGUUGGGAUGACGGUACCCAAAGAAUAAGCACCGGCUAACUUCGUGCCAGCCGCCGCCGUAA